RNAcentral lists this non-coding RNA (23 nucleotides) under Cricetulus griseus (Chinese hamster). The record is from RNAcentral. Lineage: Eukaryota; Metazoa; Chordata; Mammalia; Rodentia; Cricetidae.
AAGGACUCUGGAGUUUACCAAGC